Molecule: long non-coding RNA, 2156 nt
Organism: Lactuca sativa (garden lettuce)
Lineage: Eukaryota; Viridiplantae; Streptophyta; Magnoliopsida; Asterales; Asteraceae
Source: RefSeq, a predicted model, not a curated record
UUUAUCAAAGUUAAAAGGAUUCUAGGGCUUUUAUGUUUGCGUCCUCGUCAUAUGUUGAUCGAGUAAAGGAAAGAAACACGAACGUCAGCCGGCAAGAAAAUCACGAAGUCUCCUAGUCACUAAUCCGAUGUUUUGGUUGAUCAAUUGCGAGAAGGGUCUUUCUCCGGGGAUCGAUGAGGUCGAAGGGAGGGAAGGGACGAAGCAGCGAGGUUUCUCUCUUUCUGGCCUGGCUAUGAGGUGCGAAGGGAGAAGGAGGAAAUGGGUCCGAUUGAAGCGACGCAAGUAGCAGCGACAGAGCACGCGAGGCGCCGACGGUCGUUGGUCGAUGGGAGCAGAAGAGAGUGUGUGAGGGGAGGAGGUCAGAAGAAGGGUCCAGUAGGAGAUAGGAAGUAGAGAUCGUUUAGGCUGCUGAGAGGAAGUAAAGUGCGAUAGGUGGGGUUGCUGCCUCGAUGGUUCACCGUAGCACCACCACUGCCGGUGGUUCAUCACAGGGGACGAAGAAAUAGGCAAAAAAACAAGGAAGAAAGGUAAUCAAAGAAGAAUGAAGAACAACAAUAAAAAUCUUUAGGAGUUUGGGUGUUGCUGUGAAAUCGGUGGGAAGGAAGGAAGGGGUUUGAAAGAGGUUGUUUCCCUCAUGGUUGCACAUGUAAUCAUGGUUGCACAUGUAAUGACUCCUCUAGACGCAUCUCCAUUUUUUCCCAUAAAUGAACUAAAAAAAUUGGAGGAUAUAAUGUUUCAUUUUUACUCUACGAUUUUCUAUCCUAUUUUUUAUCUGAAAAAGUAUAUUUCUAAAAUAUUAUAUUUUUAUAACUUAUAUAUAUCGUCAAAUACACCUUUUAUAUAUAUUGUCAAAUACACCAUCUCCUGAUUAAACUCUAUAUUUAUGAUUAAUUAAUAUAAAUUAAUAUAUAACAUAUAUUAUAAAUAUUAACAUUGCAUUUAAAUUAUAAUUAGUAUAUAAAAUAAACUAGAAAUGUAUAAAAUAAAAAUGAGAAGGAUUAAAAUUGACAACCAAACUUCACCUUUAUUCUUAGAGAUUAAAAUUGGCAACCAAACCUUUAUUCUUAGAGAUAUGAAUAGUAUUUCCCUAUGGGGGAAUACUAUUCAUAUCUCAAAAAUAGAGGUGAAAAUGAGGUAGGGUUGGAAAACAAUAGAGGAAUAAAUAGAGUUUGGGGGUGGGUUGGAGAUGUCCUGAUGUGUGUUCUUGGCUGAAAACGAAGGCUAAGAAGAAAAGAAACAACAAUAUUAUGGUGUUUGUUCUUGGAUGAUCACGAAGAAGCAAAUAGAAAAAAAAAAAUUGGAGUUGUUUGGUUGUUUUUUUUUUAUCAUUGUACAUGUUAGAGUGUUGAUUUUUAUCGAUGUACAUGUUUGUUCUAGCUCCUUUUCACCUCUGAAAACAUUCACAUCAAAUCAAAAAAUGGAACAUGAGGUUAUAGGUUCUAAAUAAAACUCAAAUGGUGAGAUAAGAGGGGCAUGUGUUAGAGACGUUGGCUUAUAAGGUGAUUAGGCUUUUCAUCAUUGAAGACAUUUCAUUGCAGGAGAAAUCCCCUGUGGAGGUCCAUCAAGUCCUAAAAGAUUCCCGAUUGUAGCUCCUUGAGUUAAAAGAACUGCAGUCAAUGCUUGCCCUAAAGCAGGAGUCAAUGGUGGAUGAACAACAGGGUUAUAACCACCCACUAAUGAGCCUCUCCUACACCACCAACACCAUCACCUAUGUUUUUGAAGGGUAAUGAUCGCCACCAUUUCCAUACUUUUGAUGUUGAUGAUGGUUGUGAUGUUGCUUUUGUUGUUGGACCAUCAACAACCUUUUGGAAAUAUAAAUUGAGGGGCUCAGAACCCUAUGUUUGAAGAGUAUAAAGGCAUAACCUUUAGAUUUUCUGAUGACCUUAUCUACAACAGCUUUACAAUCUUCGAUCUGACCAUACUUGCCAAACUCUCUAGUUAGAAUCAUAACAUUGGUAUCUCAACCUAUACCCAAAUUUUUUUUGUAAGAGUACGAGUAAGAAGGUUGUGUAAUGAUUUUGAUUUUUGGUGUUUGAUUUAUGAUUUUGAUUUUUGGUGUUUAAUUUUAAAGUUAUAUGUAAGAGUACGAGUAAGCAGGUUGUGUAAUGAUUUUGAUUUUUGGUGUUUAAUUUAUGAUUUUGAUUUUUGGUGUUUAA